RNAcentral lists this ribosomal RNA (129 nucleotides) under uncultured bacterium. RNAcentral's name for it is "partial 16S ribosomal RNA". It matches the Rfam family "Bacterial small subunit ribosomal RNA", at positions 381 to 507 of the family's 1533-position model. The record is from RNAcentral.
GUCUGACCAGCCAAGUCGCGUGAAGGAAGACGGCCCUACGGGUUGUAAACUUCUUUUGUAAGGGAAUAAAGAGUCUUACGAGCUAAGACGUUGCAGGUACCUUACGAAUAAGGAUCGGCUAACUCCGUG